AAAUUUCUAUUUAUUUGUUCAUUACUCCAUACAGCUAGGGCUUACACACUCAAGUUGGAAUUUUUUUGAGUCGGGGCACGGAAAAAGCGUCUCUGAUGGAGUUGGUGGCAUGGUUAAGGGAACCGCUGAUCGCGAAGUAGCAAAGGGAAAAGAUGUGGCAAGCAUUGCUCAAUUUAUUGAUAUAGACAAAAACAAUUUGAAAACAACUAAAAUUUUUCAAAUAAAUGAAGAAGAUAUUUUAUUAGUAGACGCAAUACUUAAAGAUAAAAUUCUAAAACAAAUACCAAACACGAUGCAACUUCACCAGCUUACAUGGAAUGCAGUCAAUAAAUAAAUAGUACACUUAAGGGAACUUUCAUGUAGUCAAUGCAAGGAGCUCUGUUCUCAUAACGAUUUACUUCCAAAUCUAUACCCAAUUUAUGGCAUAAUACCUAACAAUAAGAAAACUGGUAAAGACAUCUUAGCAGAUGUCACAGAAGAUACCCCAGAGGAUAUUAUACCAGAUGUUGCCGAAGAAAGCAUAAAAAGUGAAGGCGAUUGGGUGGCUGUUGUUUUUGAUGCUGAAUGGUUUCCAGGGCAGAUUUUAAGACUUGAAGACAUUAACCUAGUUAUAUCCUU
Molecule: long non-coding RNA, 618 nt
Organism: Anthonomus grandis grandis
Lineage: Eukaryota; Metazoa; Arthropoda; Insecta; Coleoptera; Curculionidae
Exons: 2
Source: RefSeq, a predicted model, not a curated record